Molecule: ribosomal RNA, 753 nt
Filed under: uncultured Pseudomonas sp.
Lineage: Bacteria; Pseudomonadati; Pseudomonadota; Gammaproteobacteria; Pseudomonadales; Pseudomonadaceae
Description: bacterial SSU rRNA
Rfam family: Bacterial small subunit ribosomal RNA
Source: RNAcentral
AUUGAACGCUGGCGGCAGGCCUAACACAUGCAAGUCGAGCGGUAGAGAGAAGCUUGCUUCUCUUGAGAGCGGCGGACGGGUGAGUAAUGCCUAGGAAUCUGCCUGGUAGUGGGGGAUAACGUUCGGAAACGGACGCUAAUACCGCAUACGUCCUACGGGAGAAGGCAGGGGACCUUCGGGCCUUGCGCUAUCAGAUGAGCCUAGGUCGGAUUAGCUAGUUGGUGAGGUAAUGGCUCACCAAGGCGACGAUCCGUAACUGGUCUGAGAGGAUGAUCAGUCACACUGGAACUGAGACACGGUCCAGACUCCUACGGGAGGCAGCAGUGGGGAAUAUUGGACAAUGGGCGAAAGCCUGAUCCAGCCAUGCCGCGUGUGUGAAGAAGGUCUUCGGAUUGUAAAGCACUUUAAGUUGGGAGGAAGGGCAGUUACCUAAUACGUGACUGUUUUGACGUUACCGACAGAAUAAGCACCGGCUAACUCUGUGCCGGCAGCCGCGGUAAUACAGAGGGUGCAAGCGUUAAUCGGAAUUACUGGGCGUAAAGCGCGCGUAGGUGGUUAGUUAAGUUGGAUGUGAAAUCCCCGGGCUCAACCUGGGAACUGCAUUCAAAACUGACUGACUAGAGUAUGGUAGAGGGUGGUGGAAUUUCCUGUGUAGCGGUGAAAUGCGUAGAUAUAGGAAGGAACACCAGUGGCGAAGGCGACCACCUGGACUGAUACUGACACUGAGGUGCGAAAGCGUGGGGAGCAAACAGG